GCGCCGGUAGCUCAGCGGAUAGAGCAUCAGUCUUCGAAACUGAGGGUCAGAGGUUCAAAUCCUCUCCGGCGCA
RNAcentral lists this transfer RNA (73 nucleotides) under Chloroflexota bacterium. RNAcentral's name for it is "Chloroflexi bacterium tRNA-Arg". It matches the Rfam family "tRNA". From Rfam's summary of the family: Transfer RNA (tRNA) molecules are approximately 80 nucleotides in length. Their secondary structure includes four short double-helical elements and three loops (D, anti-codon, and T loops). The record is from RNAcentral. Lineage: Bacteria; Bacillati; Chloroflexota.